GAGGUGCUAGUAUAAACCACUACAUGACUUUGUCAAAGUUAAACUAUAGGUUAAACUCCUAUGUGCCUUU
RNAcentral lists this transfer RNA (70 nucleotides) under Galago senegalensis (Senegal galago). RNAcentral's name for it is "tRNA-Asp". The record is from RNAcentral. Lineage: Eukaryota; Metazoa; Chordata; Mammalia; Primates; Galagidae.